CGCACAUUGCGCCCUCUGGUAUUCCGGAGGGCAUGCCUGUUCGAGCGUCAUUAUCACCCCUCAAGCCCGGCUUGUUGUUGGAUGCAGCGCUUAUCCCGCUCCUCCCAAAGAUAAUGACGGCGUCUGCGACGACUCCUGUACACUGAGCUUUCGGGCACGUACACGGCUAGAAGUCCAGACCCGGUCGCCGUCCCCCCCGCGGGGACACCCAUUACCACAAGGUUGACCUCGGAUCAGGUAGGAAUACCCGCUGAACUUAA
This 260-nucleotide unclassified non-coding RNA is filed under the name Chaetothyriales sp. RNAcentral's name for it is "partial contains 5.8S ribosomal RNA, internal transcribed spacer 2, and large subunit ribosomal RNA". Lineage: Eukaryota; Fungi; Ascomycota; Eurotiomycetes; Chaetothyriales. The record is from RNAcentral.